Molecule: non-coding RNA, 96 nt
Organism: Cephalotrichum gorgonifer
Lineage: Eukaryota; Fungi; Ascomycota; Sordariomycetes; Microascales; Microascaceae
Source: the annotation of a GenBank genome assembly
GGUCUCAUAGUAUAGUGGUUUAGUACGUUUGGUUUUGAAAAAGAAUUUCUACCCGGAAAUGUCCAAAUAGCCCCGGUUCGAACCCGGGUGAGACCU